CUUUGUUACAAUUUUCCUCAUCGUCAGUCCACGUAGAAAAUCUUUGAAAUUUCAUGUACAAACUUUUCAUGAGUUUCCUAUUCUGAUUUACAACUAGAAACUUCAUCAAAAAAUUCUAAUUCUAAGGCACUGUAUAAAAUAUUCAUUUGUCCAACAUUGUUUUUAGGUAUGUAACGAGAAACGCAAAUCCCUAAAUUCAAGUGGUUUGUCUCUCUCUUCAAAAAUUGUUUUGCCCGUAACCUCUUCAACGGUUGUAUUCUGUCAUUAUCACCCAAAUCAUUACCAUCACUGUCCCUCCUUCGCGUCUAUUCCCCUUCGUUACUGAAAACUCCUACAACCAUCAUUGAAACUCCUGCAACCUCUUUCCCUUCCUGAUCGUGUGCUUCUAAUCGCCAUUAAUUACCAUCAGUUUCCCCUUUGAGUUUCUUCUGUCUUUUGCUCUCUCUCUUUCACGCUCUCUGACCUAUUUCCAUUUCUAACGACCUCCCUUUUCAUAGUUUCCAUCCACAGGUGCUUGCUCCGAUCUACUUUGGUGGGUUCUGCUAUGGUUCUAAUGCAAGCAUAUUAUGGCCUGCGCUCGUCCACAAGCUGUUUUGGGAAUAUUAUCGGCACUGUCUGAUGUUAUUGGGUGAAUAAGGCAACAAUCUGUUCUGAUCUGGAGAGAUUUAUUUAAUAUACUGAUAUCCAGUUAUGCAUAAGUUGGGUAUAUCACUGUAUUGUGAUGCCAAGAAUCUUCAAAACAGUAGGCUUAGGUCCAACAAAAGUCAAGUCCUUAAUAGCUUGCAACAGAAGUGGUGUUCGUAUGGAACCUUAUUGCAGCAGAAUGACUUGCAGAUAGGGGUUACAAAUGUUCAGAACAGUUUGAUCUUAGCAAGAUAUGUACAACAUAGGUCUAAGCUAGCUUGUCUAGUUCAAGGGAGUGGCUAUUGGCUGAAGCAGAGCAGGGGGGCUGUGCAUCGCUGUUUCAAUCAUGGUGUUGAAAAUAGUCCUCAUUUGACCAGAAAUUUUCUUGCACAACUUUGGAUUGCAGAGAAGAAGAUGAUAAAGUACAGAGAAAAAAGAAGACCAAAAUUUGUUAAGUGUAAGGGUAGCGGUGAAAAAGUUUAUCAUAAUCCUUCAUCCUUCCAACACGCACUUGGAAGAUGGUUUGCAGGUUCAGCUGUUCCAGACAAAAAAUAUUACGAGGGUGAUAAAACUCUGAAGCAACCACCAGUAGGCCAAUCUAUUUCUGGUUUUCUGAAACCAACAUCUCGAGAGGAGGCAAACAAUUCAUCUUGUAUGGAACUGGCCAUUACCCAGCAAAUACCAAGUAAGCCAUAGACCAUAGUGCAUAGCACGUGAGUGAUAGGAUUAUUACUAAAAGGUAUGCUUUCUAUAAUUCCCUUGGCACCAGAAAUAUUAGUGGCUUAUAGCAUCUUUGCUAUCUGUUUUGAUAGAGUUAGAAAUUUAGAGUUAGAGAUUUAUAGUUCCAAGUCCUUUUUUUUUUCAGUGCCGCAAAUGGCUUGGGGGACCUCAUUGGUAUUUGAUCUGAUUUAUAAAUUUCUCCUUGUUUUGUAAUAUGGGUAGCACCUCUUGGUCCUUGUUAACAUACUUUUCUUUGCUCUUAAAAGAUGAACUGAUGGAAAAAUGAGUUGAAAAGUGUUGCCUAGCAUAAUGCUAAGAUUAUUUGCUAUAACUCCAGAAUCACUCUUUUCCAAUUGUGACAUCAAUAUCUCUCUCAUUAAGUUGUAGAUAUUUCCAUUUAAUUCUGUAAUUAUUCUGUAACAGUAUAUAGUGUUUUUUAUGCAUAAUUCACUAGUGUAUGUAUAUAUAGAUAUUCAUAUGAAAUAAAACAAGAUAGAAAACCUUCUUCCUCUAGUUUCUUCUUGGUUAAUUUUCAUCAUGGUAUCAGAGUGAAGCCCUUGAUCAUUGCACAUUGUACAUAUUCAACUACUGAUAAUAUGCCUGAUUGUUCCCAAAGGUAUGGGUGCAAUUGAAUAAUCUUAGAUCGGUGUUGG
This is a non-coding RNA of Carica papaya (papaya), 1997 nucleotides long. The record is from RefSeq and is a predicted model, not a curated record. Lineage: Eukaryota; Viridiplantae; Streptophyta; Magnoliopsida; Brassicales; Caricaceae.